Molecule: long non-coding RNA, 1799 nt
Filed under: Carassius auratus (goldfish)
Lineage: Eukaryota; Metazoa; Chordata; Actinopteri; Cypriniformes; Cyprinidae
Description: lncRNA (ENSCARG00000044182.1)
Source: RNAcentral
GCUUUGUAGCUCAUAAAAAGUAAUAUGAUCUGAACUGAGUUAUAUGAUUUGUUGGACCACUAUCUCACACAAUGAACACACAGUUAUCGUUAAUUUUCAUUUUCAGUAACAUUCUGAUGAAACCACCAAAGCGCUCAGUCUUGGAGGAAUCUGUAAACCGUUUCAACAUGGCACAUCCUGAUGACUCCCUCUACCUCCCCAGCAUGUCUCAAUUAGUUCACACCAGUAAUGAACACUAUAUCAAAACGCUGAAAGAACACCACAAUUAUCGGGCCACCACAAUGGUGCACAAAUUAGUGGACCUUUCCCACUUUUUUAACUGGGUGAAGGAGGCAGGCCCCGAUGGGCUGCGAGUGUCCAAGAAAGCCGUUAAACGGGCUCUUCUUAUAAUAAAAAUGUGCUCAAAAGAGGAGCUGAAAAACAGGCAGGCCUGGCAGCAGGAGGUCCACUUAUCGAAAUCUGGUGAGAUCUUUAGCAGAUAGCCAAACCCACUGUCCUGGAGUGAAGAUGGGUCCUGCUGCCCUUCGACAGUGAUCAGCCUGUUCCUCUAAUCUGUGGACUGCUCGUUGAAGGUCUCCUCACUUCUAUACCGUGGCCGGGAAGUGCAAGACAACAUUACAAAGUGUGAAACACUUUUACAAAGCUCGAGACAAAAUUUACAUUUUGGAAAACAUUUUUACCAAUCAUUAAUCACAAUUACAUGGGGAAAGCACUUUUACCAAGGACGAAACAAAUUUACAUUUUAGAAAACAAAUUAACAAGACACAAAACAAUUUUACCAGUCCCGAAACAAAUUUACAAUGACAGAUUCUUCACGGAAAGGGAAUGUACAGAUCUGAAGUGACGCGGUGAAAGGUGUUGUUGUUUUUGGUGAGUGCGUUAAAUUCGUGUUGUGGAGUAAAUGACUUAAAUAAAGUUUAUGGUGACCGAGAUGGCCAUGCCAUUUUUGUGAGUGUUGUAGUAGUCAUUGUUUUGUUUGCAUUUGUCUGUUUAUAUAUAUAUAGUCGUACACUUAUUCAUAAUUAUCUUACUUCACAGGUAAAAAAGCACAAAACAUGUGCAACAUUCGGUCAUGUGAUACUCUCCAUCACAAAGGGGGAGUAUAAUUGCAUGGCUGAAUUUCUAAAAAUCCGUGGAAGCUUUGAGGGGAGCCAGUCAGCCCUCUUCUUUUUCAAUUCGAAGGGUGAGGUGUUCAAGGGCCUCCUCAAAGCUUUCACUGCUGCAUGGGAGUUUGUGGGCCUCCCAAAACCGGCCCCAACUUUCAUGGCCUUGAGGAACUCUAUGUCCACUCAGGUAAGUGUACAUUUUGAUACACACACACGCACACACUGUCUCACUGUCAUACAUUCUCUCAAACACUUUCUCACACACUCAUGCAUGUUUCUGUGAAUUGUGGGGACUUUCCAUAGUCUUCUGUUGUUUUGAUACUGACCAAACAACAUUUUUAUCCUCUAACCCAAUCCUUACAGAAAACCUGUUUGCAUUGUUACAUUUUCAGAUAAACAUCAAAUAAUAUUUUAUUUUAAUUUUUCCCUCAUGGGACUAAAGGCUGGACCCCACACAAUUUCAAAAGUUUCAGGUUUUAUUAUACUUAAGGAGACAAUGUGUUCAUCUUAAUGUGGUAUAAACAAGUGUGUGCAACACAUGCUUUGUCCUUCUCUCUCUCCCCCUCACACACACACUUUCUCUUUCUCUCUGUCGCUUUUAACUCACACACACGUUUAGGUGCUUUUUUGGCAUUACAAAUAUUUGUACAUGCGCAUUUAUUUGCAUAAAGUAGAAGUUAAUAAAAGUAAUAC